GGGCCCGCACAAGCGGUGGAGCAUGUGGUUUAAUUCGAUGAUACGCGAGGAACCUUACCAGGGCUUAAAUGCAGAACGACCGGGAUAGAAAUAUCCCUUUCUUCGGACGGUCUGCAAGGUGCUGCAUGGUUGUCGUCAGCUCGUGCUGUGAAGUGUCGGGUUAAGUCCCAUAACGAGCGCAACCCCCAUUUCUAGUUGCCAGCGGUUCGGCCGGGGACUCUAGAGAAACUGCCAGCGUAAGCUGUGAGGAAGGUGGGGAUGACGUCAAAUCAUCACGGCCCUUACAUCCUGGGCCACACACGUGCUACAAUGGUGGGGACAACAGGUUGCCAACCCGCGAGGGUGAG
This 347-nucleotide ribosomal RNA is filed under the name uncultured bacterium. RNAcentral's name for it is "bacterial SSU rRNA". It matches the Rfam family "Bacterial small subunit ribosomal RNA", at positions 917 to 1267 of the family's 1533-position model. The record is from RNAcentral.